UCUGGAGUUUGGCAGAGGGGGGUGGAAUUCCACGUGUAGCAGUGAAAUGCGUAGAGAUGUGGAGGAACACCAAUGGCGAAGGCAGCCCCCUGGGCCGAUACUGACGCUCAUGCACGAAAGCGUGGGUAGCAAACAGGAUUAGAUACCCUGGUAGUCCACGCCCUAAACGAUGUCAACUAGGUGUUGGGAGGGUAAAACCUUUUAGUGCCGUAGCUAACG
RNAcentral lists this ribosomal RNA (219 nucleotides) under uncultured Candidatus Accumulibacter sp. Its description in RNAcentral is "partial 16S ribosomal RNA". It matches the Rfam family "Bacterial small subunit ribosomal RNA", at positions 640 to 857 of the family's 1533-position model. Lineage: Bacteria; Pseudomonadati; Pseudomonadota; Betaproteobacteria. The record is from RNAcentral.